RNAcentral lists this ribosomal RNA (422 nucleotides) under uncultured bacterium. Its description in RNAcentral is "bacterial SSU rRNA". It matches the Rfam family "Bacterial small subunit ribosomal RNA", at positions 355 to 774 of the family's 1533-position model. The record is from RNAcentral.
UGAGGAAUAUUGGGCAAUGCCCGCAAGGGUGACCCUGCAACGCCGCGUGGAGGAUGAAUGUCGUAAGAUUGUAAACUCCUGUUAGAGGGGAAGAAUAGUACCGGUUGGACCGGUAUAUGACUGUACCCUCAGAGAAAGCCCCGGCUAACUACGUGCCAGCAGCCGCGGUAAUACGUAGGGGGCAAGCGUUGUCCGGAUUUACUGGGUGUAAAGGGCGCGCAGGCGGGAUAAAAAGUCAGUGGUGAAAUCCUACAGCUUAACUGUAGAACUGCCUUUGAUACUUUUAUUCUUGAGUUCGGGAGAGAGAGACGGAAUUCCAGGUGUAGUGGUGAAAUACGUAGAUAUCUGGAAGAACACCAGUUGCGAAGGCGGUCUCUUGGUCCGACACUGACGCUGAGGCGCGAAAGCGUGGGGAGCAAACA